UCCCUCGUGGUCCAACAGGUAGGACUCUGAGCUUUCACUGCUGAGGGCACAGGUUCAAUCCCUGGUCAGGGAA
This 73-nucleotide transfer RNA is filed under the name Bos taurus (domestic cattle). It matches the Rfam family "tRNA". Rfam says of the family: Transfer RNA (tRNA) molecules are approximately 80 nucleotides in length. Their secondary structure includes four short double-helical elements and three loops (D, anti-codon, and T loops). Further hydrogen bonds mediate the characteristic L-shaped molecular structure. tRNAs have two regions of fundamental functional importance: the anti-codon, which is responsible for specific mRNA codon recognition, and the 3' end, to which the tRNAs corresponding amino acid is attached (by aminoacyl-tRNA synthetases). tRNAs cope with the degeneracy of the genetic code in two manners: having more than one tRNA (with a specific anti-codon) for a particular amino acid; and 'wobble' base-pairing, i.e. permitting non-standard base-pairing at the 3rd anti-codon position. Lineage: Eukaryota; Metazoa; Chordata; Mammalia; Artiodactyla; Bovidae. RNAcentral also lists the same sequence under 4 other names. The record is from Rfam by way of RNAcentral.